RNAcentral lists this long non-coding RNA (566 nucleotides) under Vigna radiata. RNAcentral's name for it is "long non-coding RNA (VRAD_LNC012771)". The record is from RNAcentral. Lineage: Eukaryota; Viridiplantae; Streptophyta; Magnoliopsida; Fabales; Fabaceae.
AACAUUCCCAAAGUACAUGACAAAACUACCAAUCCCAAAUCUUUGGUGAAAUCAAAAUAAUAUGCAUGCAUGCUUUCAAUCCAGAGAUUGCACAACAGAUGUUACACAUUAUGAAUGACCAAUCCAUUAAGCAAAAAUGCACUCAUGAAAAUUAACAGUUCAUACCAAGCAAGUGUUUCACUCAAUCACUCAAGUGUUUAAGGUGACACUCCAAUCUCUAUUAUUCACAAGUCACAUAAAACAAAAUUGUCAUUCAUCUCUAACAAUCAACAUCUUUACAUGCAAAUGCCAUCAAAAGGACUUUUCCAAGGCUUGUAAUGUGGUUGGGCUAACAAGAAAAACUGGUUUUUCUGGAAAACAAAAUCCUUGAGUUAAGAGAGCUAUCAUAAUAUUUAACAAUUAAGCACAACUCUCUUUCUCACCAAUCUCACUUAUUCCCAACUUCUUCCCUUUUCUUUUACAUUGAGCUCACUUUCAUGCUUUUCUUCUUUUCUUUUCUUUUUAUCAUGCAUUUUUCUUUCUCAACAUUUGAGCUCAAUGCUUUACAAUUGCUUUUCAAUUUCCCC